Molecule: non-coding RNA, 125 nt
Organism: Hordeum vulgare subsp. vulgare (domesticated barley)
Lineage: Eukaryota; Viridiplantae; Streptophyta; Magnoliopsida; Poales; Poaceae
Source: Rfam
UAAAUAUUCCCUCUGUCUAAAAUUACUUGUCGUAAAUAUGAAUAGAAAUGAAUGUAUCUAGAGCUACAAUGCAUCUAGAUGCAUCCAUUCUUCCGACAAGUAUUUUCGGACUAAGGGGGUAUUUU